RNAcentral lists this ribosomal RNA (429 nucleotides) under Chloroflexota bacterium. RNAcentral's name for it is "Chloroflexi bacterium partial 16S ribosomal RNA". It matches the Rfam family "Bacterial small subunit ribosomal RNA", at positions 355 to 776 of the family's 1533-position model. The record is from RNAcentral. Lineage: Bacteria; Bacillati; Chloroflexota.
UGGGGAAUAUUGCACAAUGGGCGCAAGCCUGAUGCAGCCAUGCCGCGUGUAUGAAGAAGGCCUUCGGGUUGUAAAGUACUUUCAGCGGGGAGGAAGGGAGUAAAGUUAAUACCUUUGCUCAUUGACGUUACCCGCAGAAGAAGCACCGGCUAACUCCGUGCCAGCAGCCGCGGUAAUACGGAGGGUGCAAGCGUUAAUCGGAAUUACUGGGCGUAAAGCGCACGCAGGCGGUUUGUUAAGUCAGAUGUGAAAUCCCCGGGCUCAACCUGGGAACUGCAUCUGAUACUGGCAAGCUUGAGUCUCGUAGAGGGAGGUAGGAUUCCAGGUGUAGCGGUGAAAUGCGUAGAGAUCUGGAGGAAUACCGGUGGCGAAGGCGGCCCCCUGGACGAAGACUGACGCUCAGGUGCGAAAGCGUGGGGAGCAAACAGG